RNAcentral lists this transfer RNA (74 nucleotides) under Phycisphaerae bacterium. RNAcentral's name for it is "tRNA-Trp". It matches the Rfam family "tRNA". From Rfam's summary of the family: Transfer RNA (tRNA) molecules are approximately 80 nucleotides in length. Their secondary structure includes four short double-helical elements and three loops (D, anti-codon, and T loops). Further hydrogen bonds mediate the characteristic L-shaped molecular structure. tRNAs have two regions of fundamental functional importance: the anti-codon, which is responsible for specific mRNA codon recognition, and the 3' end, to which the tRNAs corresponding amino acid is attached (by aminoacyl-tRNA synthetases). tRNAs cope with the degeneracy of the genetic code in two manners: having more than one tRNA (with a specific anti-codon) for a particular amino acid; and 'wobble' base-pairing, i.e. permitting non-standard base-pairing at the 3rd anti-codon position. The record is from RNAcentral. Lineage: Bacteria; Pseudomonadati; Planctomycetota; Phycisphaerae.
AGGGGCGUAGCUCAAUUGGCCAGAGCAGCGGUUUCCAAAACCGCAGGUUGGGGGUUCGAGUCCCUUCGCCCCUG